Chrysemys picta bellii (western painted turtle) is the source of this 308-nucleotide non-coding RNA. The record is from RefSeq and is a predicted model, not a curated record. Lineage: Eukaryota; Metazoa; Chordata; Testudines; Emydidae.
CCCAGUUUCCCUAACUCUGACCCAUGGCUCUCCCUUGCUUUCAGGAUCUGCCUAGGGUCUUGCCAGACCUCCUGGACGCCAUGCUGGGGAACCUGCUGGCAGAGUCCCCAGACACCGACAGGCUCCAGUACAUCUUGGAGCACAUUAACUACUGGAUCGUGUCCAGGGUGCCGCGAGAGAGAGCCAGGGCCGUUAAGAGCAGCACGGCCCUGCUCAGAUCCACCAUCACCCUCCCCGAGUUUGACAUAAGUGACCUCUGACCCCAGCUUCCUGACUCCAGGGAACUCAGCGGAAUUCCCCAGGAUGGG